Molecule: ribosomal RNA, 494 nt
Filed under: uncultured bacterium
Lineage: Bacteria
Description: partial 16S ribosomal RNA
Rfam family: Bacterial small subunit ribosomal RNA
Source: RNAcentral
GACGAACGCUGGCGGCGUGCUUAACACAUGCAAGUCGAACGGUGAAGCGCCUUCCUUUUUGGUGGGUGUGGAUGAGUGGCGAACGGGUGAGUAACACGUGAGUAACCUGCCCCCUUCUUCUGGAUAACCGCAUGAAAGUGUGGCUAAUACGGGAUAUUCUGGUUCUGUCGCAUGAUGGGUCUGGGAAAGAUAUUGUUUCGGUGGGGGAUGGGCUCGCGGCCUAUCAGCUUGUUGGUGGGGUGAUGGCCUACCAAGGCGGUGACGGGUAGCCGGCCUGAGAGGGUGGACGGUCACACUGGGACUGCGACACGGCCCAGACUCCUACGGGAGGCAGCAGUGGGGAAUAUUGCACAAUGGGCGCAAGCCUGAUGCAGCGACGCCGCGUGAGGGAUGGAGGCCUUCGGGUUGUGAACCUCUUUCGCCAGUGAAGCAGGCCUGCCUCGUUUGUGGGUGGGUUGACGGUAGCUGGAGAAGAAGCGCCGGCUAACUACGUG